Molecule: long non-coding RNA, 754 nt
Organism: Cynoglossus semilaevis (tongue sole)
Lineage: Eukaryota; Metazoa; Chordata; Actinopteri; Pleuronectiformes; Cynoglossidae
Exons: 3
Source: RefSeq, a predicted model, not a curated record
UACAGAUUACGUCGGGAAGGAGACAAAGGCCGUAUCCCGGUCAUGAACUUGUCUUGGGCGGGUUAAAGUAUAGCUGUAAAUAUAAUCAUCACAUUAUAAACACGAGCUAUUGUGUUCGUAAUACGUUGUGGAAACAUGAACAAUCCAUAAAGCAAAGUAUCAGCGAUGGGCUGAUAAUGACUGCAAACUUUUCCAAAAGUCAGACCAAAUCAGAGGGUGACGGGCUGCUUAUCCAACAGUAAGGAGAGAGGAGUUUCUAAAGAAGUUCUUGUGGAGUUAAACAUGACCAAUAUACAACAGCUACUUUGGAAUCACCAGAUUUUUUCCAUCGGUGAGUCUCCUGAAAGUAAUAAUAAAAUACCCUGUCUUUUAUUAUUCACUCAAAACAUUUGUUUAAAUAUGUUAAAUUUUAUUUUUAGAUUGUAUUUCUGUUUAACUAAUUAGGUAACUUGUAGCUGUAGCAUUCAAUGUAAGACUGUUAGAACAACAGAAGGUUGUUGUAAUUUACAUAAUAGUUUUAUUGAAAUGCUUUUUACACUCAGUAAGGUGCAGUCAUUUUAAAUAUUGUUUUAAAAAUUAUAUGUACUUUAUAAACUAUAAACACUGAUCUUUAUUAAAAUGGCCCAUUAUAUAAUGGUGUAUAAUUAAAGAAGGAUUUGGUGUGAAUUUAAACAAAAUAAAUAGAAGAUGUGAUGAAGUAUAUCAGCCAGUGUUGUGUCUCAUUUGUCCAUACAUGUGUUAAUGUGAUUAUUUA